RNAcentral lists this ribosomal RNA (305 nucleotides) under uncultured bacterium. RNAcentral describes it as "bacterial SSU rRNA". It matches the Rfam family "Bacterial small subunit ribosomal RNA", at positions 337 to 639 of the family's 1533-position model. The record is from RNAcentral.
UCCUACGGGACGCAGCAGUGAGGAAUAUUGGUCAAUGGUCGGGAGACUGAACCAGCCAAGCCGCGUGAGGGAUGAAGGUACAGAGUAUCGUAAACCUCUUUUGUCGGGGAGCAAGGCCCGCCACGUGUGGCGGGAAGGAGAGUACCCGAAGAAAAAGCAUCGGCUAACUCCGUGCCAGCAGCCGCGGUAAUACGGAGGAUGCGGGCGUUAUCCGGAUUUAUUGGGUUUAAAGGGUGCGUAGGCGGAAGGUUAAGUCAGCGGUCAAAUGUCGGUGCUCAACACCGGCCUGCCGUUGAAACUGGUCU